Molecule: non-coding RNA, 1295 nt
Organism: Paramuricea clavata
Lineage: Eukaryota; Metazoa; Cnidaria; Anthozoa; Malacalcyonacea; Plexauridae
Source: the annotation of a GenBank genome assembly
GGCCGAGGGACGUUUUUAAGACCGAGAGAAAUAUUUCUCUAUACGGACCGACCAUACCGGUAAAUAAUAUUUUUAUUUUUUUUUUUUAAUUCCUCCUCUGGAUUUCCCCAAUCACUCCUCCCGCACGCGAAUGAAGCUGCCAAAUAAAACGUCGUUUCUAUCAAUGCUAUCGGGAAGAGAAAUAUCUUUUGUGAGAUAGUAAAAUUCGUUUUCACUGUGUUUUUCAUUGUCUGCAGACAUUUUAAUGUUUUAAAAAGUAGCCUUUAAACUCGUCUUUAAAUUUUGAAAAAUAAAAACAUUGGCUCUACGGCUUUAAAUCUCGCGCGGUCCGUACGGGCUCAUACGGACCGCUCACGUAGCCAAUCAGAUUGCAGAAAAGCGUAAAAUAUGACUUCGGACCGCAAGAAAAAAAAUAAAAACAUUUAUUGUAGCUCUUUUACUUGAAGUGCGCAAUAGAAACAAAGCAUUAUAUACAUAUUUUACAGCUUAAAUUGGAAGCAAUCUUAGUUGUAGCUAGUCUUCACAGCUUUAUAUAACGUUGGAAUUACACGUUCUUUCCUAGUCCUAGAAACAAUAGACUUGCUACAAGUCGACCUCGUAUGCGGAUCGACGAAGUCGCGAGAGCGAGCGACUAUACAAAAGCUUUAUGUUGUUCUGCACUGCCUUAUACCCAGACGCUGCAUCACCUGCAUGGCUCAAAUGAAGACUAUAUGGUUUAAAUUUUAUGGUUAAAUAUGUUAUACAAAUGUUUGAACAUGUUUAACCAAAAAUUUGGUACGUGUCUAUGCUAGGCGAGUACACUACCAGGCCUUAAAAUAUCGGUCGGUCACGGACAUUGUCCGACCUAUUCGUGAAAUUGUCCGACGUAGAGAGGGAACCACCCCGGACAUUCUGUCCGACCUAAGUGAAUCUGAGUUUUUUUUGUUUUCGACCUGAGUCGAGUGUAUUGGUGUUUGACCGAAUUGUAACUCUGUCCAACGUAAAUCAAAAUGUACAGUACCCAAGUCGUGGUAUGUUAAAUAGAGAAUCAGAGUAAUGUAUAAAAAGUGAACUGGAAAUGUGUAAUCAAGUGCAUGCGAGGUCUUCACCGUGGGAUUGGGAAAUUCAUUGCCAAGAUUCAUGACUUUUCCAAAUUGUGUUGAUAUUAAUUGUGUCUGCAUUCAUACUUCUUUAACUGAACUCAAAGUCAGGGUUUUUUUCCAGGAUUUCCUCUUGGGUCCGUUUUUGCAGAGAAGAUUGAGUUUAGCUGAACAGCUGGAGGUGGCUGCACCCCCCCCCCCCCUACCGGGGGGCUG